Molecule: long non-coding RNA, 409 nt
Filed under: Nicotiana benthamiana
Lineage: Eukaryota; Viridiplantae; Streptophyta; Magnoliopsida; Solanales; Solanaceae
Description: long non-coding RNA (NBEN_LNC021322)
Source: RNAcentral
AUUGUAUUGCUUUUAGUAAUUGUCGUGGGAAGGGAAAUAGGAAUGUUGUACAAACACAACAAUAUUACAAGGCAAGCAUAGUUAAAGCACAAGAGGAAACUACAUUGGAUACACAACACAUGCCAAAUCCAAGAUUUUCUUAAAUGCAAGAAGCAGCAUACGUGAUUCAACAGGCUACAGGAAAUAAUGUGCAACAGCACCAUCGCUCAAGUGAUCACUAUACUUCUUGACAAGAAUGGACCUUGGGCCUAACUCAACAUACAGGAAAUAAUGUGCAACAGCACCAUCGUUCAAGUGAUCACUAUUCUUCUAAUACUUUAGCAAUACAUUCAGAAGAUGCAAAGCAACAUCAGGCUACAAAGGCAAUACAGAUCACUUUGGAUCCUACCUCAUUUAGAACAGGUCCUGC